This is a long non-coding RNA of Oncorhynchus masou masou (cherry salmon), 2183 nucleotides long. RefSeq lists it as uncharacterized. Lineage: Eukaryota; Metazoa; Chordata; Actinopteri; Salmoniformes; Salmonidae. The transcript has 2 exons. The record is from RefSeq and is a predicted model, not a curated record.
UCAUCAGAGAGGAUGAGUGAAAGCAAGAGGUUUCACUCUCGCCAAACGUUAAAAAAAGAACCACAAUGCAUUUCUAUGGGUUUAUUUUGGAUCUGAAUUCGUCUCCUUAUUUUGGACCUGAACUUGUCGCCUUUGGGACAACUAUUACCAUUGUUAGGGAGGACCUGAGCCCUAGGACCAUGCCUCAAGACUACCAUGCAUGAUGACUCCUUGCUGUCCCCAGUCCACCUGACCGUGCUGCUGCUCCAGUUUCAACUGUUCUACCUGCGGCUAUGGAACCCUGACUUGUUCACCGGACGUGCUACCUGUCCCAGACCUGCUGUUUUCAACUCUCUAGAGACAGCAGGAGCGGUAGAGAUACUCUGAAUGAUCGGCUAUGAAAAGCCAACUGACAUUUACUUCUGAGGUGCUGACCUGUUGCACCCUCGACAACCACUGUGAUUAUUAUUAUUAUUAUUUGACCCUGCUGGUCAUCUAUGAACAUUUGAACAUCUUGGCCAUUUUCUGUUAUAAUCUCCACCCGGCACAGCCAGAAGAGGACUGGCCACCCCUCAUAGCCUGGUUCCUCUCUAGGUUUCUUCCUAGGUUCUGGACUUUCUAGGGAGUUUUUCCUAGCCACUGUGCUUCUACACCUGCAUUGCUUGCUGUUUGGGGUUUUAGACUGGGUUUCUGUACAGCACUUUGAGAUAUCAUCUGAUGUAAGAGGGCUUUAUAAAUACAUUUGAUUUUGAUUUUAUUUGAAGUACACACACACACACACACACACACAGACCCACGUACACUCGCAUGUACGCACACACAGACACACGCACGCAUGCACUCACACACACCUCCUUGCCCAUUCUUCUACCCCUACUGCCUGUCUCAGGAACAUUCUUUUAAGUAAAUUCACAGCUAAAGCAGAACUAGGCAGCAACGUUCUGGGAGCGUUUUAUCAUUAACAGGGGGCCUGCCUGGUCCCUGGGCUGCAUGCUGUGAUGUUGUGUAAGUUCUUCGCUCUGCUUACACACUCCAACAGAGGAGCAUAUGGGCCAAAACAAGCAGGUGUUUUCUGAUCCUGUGGCCCUCUGGUCCCCCCCACCAGGGAUCCCUGGCCAUUUUAGAUGUACUUUAUUAGUUAGGGAGUGUGUGUGUGUGGGAGUGAUCCCAGCUCUGGCAACACGCGCCUCUGCAGUACAGGGCUGGCCUGAUGGGGCUUGCAGCUGUGUGUUUAAUAGCUCUGUAUUGCUGUUGUUCUCUCUCUCUCUCUCUCUCUCUCUCUCUCUCUCUCUCUCUCUCUCUCUCUCUCUACAGCGACAGGAGGAAAGAAAAGACAAACCCUGCCCCAGGCAAGCACCUGUGAUGUGGAGUACUGCUACACCUGGCUAUUAGCAGAGCCUUGUCUGGCAGAGAAACAGUUCAUUCAGCCUCAUUUACUGCCUUUUCAGAAAACAUAGCUGAUAUGGCUGACUUGCUUAAACAAAUAUGGUUUCUAAUGAUAAUUGAGAUGUACAAACUAUGGCAUAAGCGAACGAUGAGCGGAUAAGAGACGAAUGUAGUCAAUAUAACUAUUUGUUCAGCACUUUUGAAAUAUAUAGCGACAUAAAUCAGAACAUGGACCGUUCUUACAGCAUAUUGCAUCAUGUAUUCAGCAGUAUACAAGACAUUUUUGGACUCACCUUGUUGUGCUGUGCUCACUUGAACAGGAAGGUGGUCCUUGCCAGCAAAUUUUGUCAUCAAACUUUGUCAUCAAAGUCUGGCAUUUUCUGGAUUUAUGGUGCUUUCGAGACAACUGGGAACUCUGAAUCAUGAUGUUGGUGAUAUUCAGGUCAGAGCUCUAGAAAGAGGCCAGAGUUCCCGAUUUGAAAUUCCGAGUUGGAUGACUGUUCCAAAUGUAUUUUCCCAGUUUCUGAGUUCCCAGUUGUCUUGAACGUGGCAGAAGUCAUGCUGGAUUGACAGCAUGGCCAAUGUAUUCAACCUUUUCUGGCCCAUGGUGUUGCAUGUGAAUGUUUAUCUUUUUGUGCAAAGCAGUCAUAGAAGUUAAGGGUGGCUACCUUGAAGAAUUUCAAAUCUAAAAUAUAUUUACAUUUGAUUAACACAGGAUUACUACAGGAUUCCAUAUGUGUUAUUUUAUUGUUUUGAUGUCUUCACUAUUAUUCUACAAUGUAGAAAAUAGUCAAAAUAAAGAAAAACCCUUGAAUGAG